GAACGCCGUAUGCGGUGAAAGUCGCACGUACGGUGUGGAGCGGGGGAAAAAUUGGAGAUAACAUCAAAGAUUUACCUAUCGCUAU
Clostridium perfringens is the source of this 85-nucleotide non-coding RNA. NCBI's taxonomy places the organism in Bacteria, Bacillati, Bacillota, Clostridia, Eubacteriales, Clostridiaceae. The record is from Rfam.